This 277-nucleotide long non-coding RNA is filed under the name Elaeis guineensis (African oil palm). RNAcentral describes it as "long non-coding RNA (EGUI_LNC017760)". Lineage: Eukaryota; Viridiplantae; Streptophyta; Magnoliopsida; Arecales; Arecaceae. The record is from RNAcentral.
GGGCUGCGGGUUAAACGGGCCAACCCGCCAAAAUUCCUCCUCUCUGAAAAAAAAAAAACUGUUAACCCUUCUCUCUCCUCUCCACAUUCUUUCCAUGAUCUCUGGAGGGUUGGUAAUUUGUUUUACUAAACAAAAUAGGCGGAUAACUAGACAAAAGUCAAGGCCUCAAGAGGAUUUGGUAAUAUUUCCUUUUACUAAACAAAAUAGGCGGGCCAACCCACCCCGACUCGCCAAUCCAAACGGGGCGGAUUAUUUGAUCCACUUUUAAAUGGAUUGC